GUGCUCACUUUGGCAGCACAUAUAGUAAGAUUGGAACGAUACAGAGAAGACUAGCUUGGCCCCUGAAAGCAUGACAUGAAAAUUCCUGAAGUGUUUCAUCUUUUU
Small nuclear RNA from Dama dama (fallow deer), 105 nucleotides. NCBI's taxonomy places the organism in Eukaryota, Metazoa, Chordata, Mammalia, Artiodactyla, Cervidae. The record is from RefSeq and is a predicted model, not a curated record.